CGGUAGUCCACGCCCUAAACGAUGAACACUAGUCGUCGGAAUGCUAGUCAUUUCGGUGAUGCACUUAACAGAUUAAGUGUUCCGCCUGGGGAGUACGGUCGCAAGAUUAAAACUCAAAGGAAUAGACGGGGACCCGCACAAGUGGUGGAGCAUGUGGUUUAAUUCGAAAAUACGCGAAGAACCUUACCUAGCCUUGACAUUGAUUGAACACUUUAGAGAUAGAGUGGUGCCCUUCGGGGAACAUGAAAACAGGUGCUGCACGGCUGUCGUCAGCUCGUGUCGUGAGAUGUUGGGUUAAGUCCCGCAACGAGCGCAACCCUCGUCUUUAGUUGCCAGCAGGUUAAGCUGGGCACUCUAAAGAGACUGCCUUCGUAAGGAGGAGGAAGGUGAGGACGACGUCAAGUCAUCAUGGCCCUUAUGGCUAGGGCUACACACGUGCUACAAUGGGGGCGUACAGAGAGUUGCGAUACCGCGAGGUGGAGCCAAUCUCAUAAAGCGUCUCUCAGUUCGGA
This 512-nucleotide ribosomal RNA is filed under the name uncultured prokaryote. RNAcentral describes it as "bacterial SSU rRNA". It matches the Rfam family "Bacterial small subunit ribosomal RNA", at positions 788 to 1297 of the family's 1533-position model. The record is from RNAcentral.